RNAcentral lists this ribosomal RNA (461 nucleotides) under uncultured bacterium. RNAcentral describes it as "partial 16S ribosomal RNA". It matches the Rfam family "Bacterial small subunit ribosomal RNA", at positions 28 to 506 of the family's 1533-position model. The record is from RNAcentral.
GACGAACGCUGGCGGCGUGCUUAACACAUGCAAGUCGAGCGGAAAGGCCCUUCGGGGUACUCGAGCGGCGAACGGGUGAGUAACACGUGGGUAACCUGCCCCAGACUUUGGGAUAACCCUCGGAAACGGGGGCUAAUACCGGAUACGACACAGCUUCGCAUGGGGUCUGUGUGGAAAGUUUUUCGGUUUGGGAUGGGCUCGCGGCCUAUCAGCUUGUUGGUGGGGUGAUGGCCUACCAAGGCGACGACGGGUAGCCGGCCUGAGAGGGCGACCGGCCACACGGGGACUGGGACACGGCCCAGGCUCCUAGGGGGGGCAGGAGUGGGGAAUUUUGCAAAAGGGGGGGAAGCCUGAUGCAGGGGCGCCGGGGGGGGGAGGAGGGCCUUGGGGUUGUAAACCCCUUUCGGCGGGGGCGAAGGGUAAGGGACGGUACCUGAAGAAGAAGCGCCGGCCAACUACGU